Molecule: long non-coding RNA, 705 nt
Organism: Scylla paramamosain (green mud crab)
Lineage: Eukaryota; Metazoa; Arthropoda; Malacostraca; Decapoda; Portunidae
Exons: 3
Source: RefSeq, a predicted model, not a curated record
GGUGACGUGGCCAGGGCUGUGUCGACACCAGGGUGGUGUUGGUUGUGUGGGGUGCACCUGGGUCCUGUGUUGGUCUUUGAAGAGCAGCCGAUCAAGAUAAAUUAUAUAGUUUGGAAGGCCGCCAGCCAGCGCCCACCAGCGGCUCCAGUGCCCCUUGUGCCUUCACUUGCGGCGUCCCCUCUCCCCUAUCCUCCUCAAAGUCCUUCAGCAUGUCAGUGCUGUCCAUCCUGAGACGCGGGGAUUUAGCAGACUGGGUCCUGGUUAGGCUGGUGGGUCCCUCAUGACGACUGAGAGGGACUAGAGUGCAGGCCUUUGUACCCUUCCCGCGAGGCAUGUCAUUCCUGCAAGGUGGGGAGGAACAGAAGGGACUGCUUCUCCUUGGAUUAUCUUAUUUAUUCAUUCAUUCAUUUUUACUAUUUUUUUUUAUAUUACUUGUCUCUUUCCCUCUAGAAUAUGCAGGAAAAGACAAUUUCUAUAGGAAUGCUGUGAUUGUUCUGCCACUCUUGUUUGAUUUAUACUUUUUCUAUAACAGGAGGAGUAUGGAAGAGUAUGGCUUCCUCAUCACGGCUUACUAUGAGCUCAUACUUAUAAAACGCCUCUUUUUCAUGUCUAACGGCUCUUGUAUGUACAAUAUAUUAGCCAGUCAAAUUACACGGCACAUUGUAAUUAAUAUUGUGAUGCAAGGACAGCUCUGUUUGAAGCGGA